Molecule: ribosomal RNA, 302 nt
Filed under: uncultured bacterium
Lineage: Bacteria
Description: partial 16S ribosomal RNA
Rfam family: Bacterial small subunit ribosomal RNA
Source: RNAcentral
GCAGCCGCCGCGGGAAUACAGAGGGUGCGAGCGUUAAUCGGAUUUACUGGGCGUAAAGCGUGCGUAGGCGGCUAAUUGAGUCGGAUGUGAAAUCCCCGAGCUUAACUUGGGAAUUGCAUUCGAUACUGGUUAGCUAGAGUGUGGGAGAGGAUGGUAGAAUUCCAGGUGUAGCGGUGAAAUGCGUAGAGAUCUGGAGGAAUACCGAUGGCGAAGGCAGCCAUCUGGCCUAACACUGACGCUGAGGUACGAAAGCAUGGGGAGCAAACAGGAUUAGAUACCCCGGUAGUCCCUGUCUCUUAUAC